Electrophorus electricus (electric eel) is the source of this 976-nucleotide non-coding RNA. The record is from RefSeq and is a predicted model, not a curated record. NCBI's taxonomy places the organism in Eukaryota, Metazoa, Chordata, Actinopteri, Gymnotiformes, Gymnotidae.
CACCAGGGAGUGUGCAUGCUCUGUGAACGUAAAGUAUCUUGUGAAAAGAACGCGCAGAGACCACGUGAAGUUUGGCCAGUGUGCGCGACCUCAGCCGGGCGCGUAUAGAUCGCUCGCCUAAAGAAAGACGGCUUUAUUGCCCCAGGUACAAAUAUCGUGGUGGGAAACAAAUAACAUAUUGGACUACAUUUAGUGACUUGGCGCUACGGAACACACAGCCGGAAGGCGAGAGCCCAUUCCCUGCAGACAGAGAGGCCAGCCAAGGCGGGACUCUCCCAGAUGAACCAGAUUGCCAUCACCGGAGUAUUGAUGUUCCUAACCUGUUUCCUUCCUAUUACGUACUCUCUCUCCUCAUGUAUAUACUCCCCUCUCACUGACUUCUUUGGGAAGUGUUGCCAUUUCAUGAUGGGUGAUAAAAAUGACACAGACCUCCUUGGGGACACUGAUGUUUACUCUGCAGUUGUCUCGUGACUGCCUGGGACGAGCGAAAAUGACGUGCAGUCAUGAUGUCUGGUUCUGCCUCUGCCUCUCCGGUAUCCCCCAUCCCGAUCCAUACCAGGUGUUCCGGUGAGCAGCGGACAAUAUAAAAGGAAGAGGAAGAGACAAAGAGUUUGACGUUGGUUGGGACUUGUUGCUAUAUUUUGAGCUUGUGUAUGCUAGACUUUGUGUAUGUCUUUGGGUUUGCCCCUUGACUGAUUGCUGGAUAAUAUGUUUCUUGUAUGUAUAUUGUCCUGUAUAUAGCUACACACUGGUGGUAAGGAGUGGGUGCCAUUUUGUUUGGGUGUGGGUUUAUCUUUGUUUCUAACAGUGUAGUCAUUGUAAAUUUCUUUUUGCUAGCUUAGUCAGUCGGCGUUUUGUUUCUAGUGUAGUUUUGUUUGUUGUGUUGGCCUUGGUCACACAUGACGCGAUUGCACCAGUUUCUUGUCUUUAAACACCAAAAACUUGUAAAUACACUUGCUCUUUGUCUGGUUGUUCA